GUUUUCGUAGUUAAAUCUUUAUAACGGCGGCUUUUCAGGCCGCAGAUCCUGGAGAGAGUCCGGGCGAGAAUU
This 72-nucleotide transfer RNA is filed under the name Lophophanes dichrous. RNAcentral describes it as "tRNA-Glu". It matches the Rfam family "tRNA". From Rfam's summary of the family: Transfer RNA (tRNA) molecules are approximately 80 nucleotides in length. Their secondary structure includes four short double-helical elements and three loops (D, anti-codon, and T loops). The record is from RNAcentral. Lineage: Eukaryota; Metazoa; Chordata; Aves; Passeriformes; Paridae.